AGAGUUUGAUCCUGGCUCAGGACGAACGCUGGCGGCGUGCUUAACACAUGCAAGUCGAGCGAUGAAGCUUCCUUCGGGAAGUGGAUUAGCGGCGGACGGGUGAGUAACACGUGGGUAACCUGCCUCAAAGUGGGGGAUAGCCUUCCGAAAGGAAGAUUAAUACCGCAUAAUAUAAGAGAAUCGCAUGAUUUUCUUAUCAAAGAUUUAUUGCUUUGAGAUGGACCCGCGGCGCAUUAGCUAGUUGGUAAGGUAACGGCUUACCAAGGCAACGAUGCGUAGCCGACCUGAGAGGGUGAUCGGCCACAUUGGAACUGAGACACGGUCCAGACUCCUACGGGAGGCAGCAGUGGGGAAUAUUGCGCAAUGGGGGAAACCCUGACGCAGCAACGCCGCGUGGGUGAUGAAGGUCUUCGGAUUGUAAAGCCCUGUUUUCUAGGACGAUAAUGACGGUACUAGAGGAGGAAGCCACGGCUAACUACGUGCCAGCAGCCGCGGUAAUACGUAGGUGGCGAGCGUUGUCCGGAUUUACUGGGCGUAAAGGGUGCGUAGGCGGAUGUUUAAGUGGGAUGUGAAAUCCCCGGGCUUAACCUGGGGGCUGCAUUCCAAACUGGAUAUCUAGAGUGCAGGAGAGGAAAGCGGAAUUCCUAGUGUAGCGGUGAAAUGCGUAGAGAUUAGGAAGAACACCAGUGGCGAAGGCGGCUUUCUGGACUGUAACUGACGCUGAGGCACGAAAGCGUGGGUAGCAAACAGGAUUAGAUACCCUGGUAGUCCACGCCGUAAACGAUGGAUACUAGGUGUAGGGGUAUCAA
RNAcentral lists this ribosomal RNA (809 nucleotides) under Clostridium botulinum. RNAcentral describes it as "bacterial SSU rRNA". It matches the Rfam family "Bacterial small subunit ribosomal RNA", at positions 8 to 834 of the family's 1533-position model. The record is from RNAcentral. Lineage: Bacteria; Bacillati; Bacillota; Clostridia; Eubacteriales; Clostridiaceae.